RNAcentral lists this ribosomal RNA (523 nucleotides) under uncultured Acidobacteriota bacterium. RNAcentral describes it as "SSU rRNA". It matches the Rfam family "Bacterial small subunit ribosomal RNA", at positions 242 to 769 of the family's 1533-position model. The record is from RNAcentral. Lineage: Bacteria; Pseudomonadati; Acidobacteriota.
CAGCUUGUUGGUGAGGUAACGGCUCACCAAGGCAAUGAUCGGUAGCCGAUCUGAGAGGAUGAUCGGUCACACUGGAACUGAGACACGGUCCAGACUCCUACGGGAGGCAGCAGUGGGGAAUCUUGCGCAAUGGGCGAAAGCCUGACGCAGCGACGCCGCGUGGGGGAUGAAGCUUCUCGGAGUGUAAACCCCUUUCGACCCGGACGAAACUCCCGCAAGGGAUUGACGGUACGGGUAUAAGAAGCCCCGGCUAACUACGUGCCAGCAGCCGCGGUAAGACGUAGGGGGCCAGCGUUGCUCGGAAUUACUGGGCGUAAAGGGUUCGUAGGCGGUGUGGCAAGUCGGAAGUGAAAUCUCCAGGCUUAACUUGGAGGCUGCUUCCGAAACUGCCGUGCUAGAGUGCGGGAGAGGCCAGUGGAAUUGCAGGUGUAGCGGUGAAAUGCGUAGAUAUCUGCAGGAACACCCGUGGCGAAGGCGGCUGGCUGGACCGCAACUGACGCUGAGGAACGAAAGCUAGGGGAGC